RNAcentral lists this long non-coding RNA (690 nucleotides) under Helianthus annuus (common sunflower). Its description in RNAcentral is "hypothetical non coding rna". The record is from RNAcentral. Lineage: Eukaryota; Viridiplantae; Streptophyta; Magnoliopsida; Asterales; Asteraceae.
UUUGCUCUUAAUCAAUUGUAAAAUGUCUUCUCCUAAAUCAAAGAUCUACUUUUUUUCUACUCUUCACCUUCAUCGCAAUCUGACAGCUAUUUGGAGGUUCGAUUUCUGUUCAUUGAUUUCGAUUUAUUUGGGGUAAAAUCAUUGCAAUCUUGUGUUCCACAUAUACGAUAUUUUAUCUAGGGUUUCCACACAAUCCAAAAGCUAACCUGCUGUCGCAGAGCACCUCUUCAUCACUUUCAUUGGAGGUUUCAAAGACGGAGAUCCGCCACGUGUCUCGGAAAUGGAAGGGCAGUCCUGAACACACAAAGGUCUGGAUUGAGCCUAACAAACUUCGUAGGGUCGCUGUUGUUUACUACCUCUGCCGUAACGGCCAGCUUGAGCAUCCGCAUGUUGAUGUUUCUUUCUCCUGUUCUGAUAGACUGGAUCUUCGAGAUGUAAUAGAUUGUAUAAAUUCUCUCCGAGGAAAAUGAAUGGCGGCAAUGUACUCGUGGUCUUCUAAACAGCUAUGUGACUUGCUGUAACGAUGAUGCUUUCGGAGUGGACGAUCUGUCAUGCGGCGCGGCUCAAAGGCUCCGAUGCUCAUGCUUUCGGAGUGGACGAUCGAUGUUCCAGAUCUAUCUAAACCGAUGUCGGAGAUAUCUCCGCUGAUUCUCCGCUUGUAUGCUUUUCAAUUGUUCAAUAAAUCGUAUU